This is a non-coding RNA of Jatropha curcas, 384 nucleotides long. The record is from RefSeq and is a predicted model, not a curated record. Lineage: Eukaryota; Viridiplantae; Streptophyta; Magnoliopsida; Malpighiales; Euphorbiaceae.
UACUCGAUUCUACAGAGAACGCUAUUGAGCAAAGCUUGGCAGGCACUGGCCGUGCCAAUGUCCGAGCCUUGGAGAUAUACUCGAAAAGUUCUAAAACUACAUGCUUCACUUGGCUUCUGAUUUUUCUAAUGACAUGUGUCUUCAUCAUGGUUGUACUCCUAAUUCGCGUCACUUAGAAGUUUCUUCAAGAUAUCAUUUUGUGACGAUACGGAGAUUAAUGACAAAUAAUAUGCAAUAUUUUCUUAUUCGUGUUGUUUGAGGUUGUUUUGGGAUUCAUAUUUUAAUCGACGGACAACUAAUUCUAAAGUAAGUUUAACACUCAUAUUAUGAUUGUAUUUUUUUUUCUUUUUUCUUUUUUAAUAUAAUGUCUUUUACUUGAGAAGA